This 429-nucleotide ribosomal RNA is filed under the name Acidobacteriota bacterium. RNAcentral describes it as "Acidobacteria bacterium partial 16S ribosomal RNA". It matches the Rfam family "Bacterial small subunit ribosomal RNA", at positions 355 to 776 of the family's 1533-position model. The record is from RNAcentral. Lineage: Bacteria; Pseudomonadati; Acidobacteriota.
UGGGGAAUUUUGGACAAUGGGGGUAACCCUGAUCCAGCCAUCCCGCGUGUGCGAUGAAGGCCUUCGGGUUGUAAAGCACUUUUGGCAGGAAAGAAACGUCAUGGGUUAAUACCCCGUGAAACUGACGGUACCUGCAGAAUAAGCACCGGCUAACUACGUGCCAGCAGCCGCGGUAAUACGUAGGGUGCAAGCGUUAAUCGGAAUUACUGGGCGUAAAGCGUGCGCAGGCGGUUCGGAAAGAAAGAUGUGAAAUCCCAGAGCUCAACUUUGGAACUGCAUUUUUAACUACCGGGCUAGAGUGUGUCAGAGGGAGGUGGAAUUCCGCGUGUAGCAGUGAAAUGCGUAGAUAUGCGGAGGAACACCGAUGGCGAAGGCAGCCUCCUGGGAUAACACUGACGCUCAUGCACGAAAGCGUGGGGAGCAAACAGG